Long non-coding RNA from Mauremys reevesii (Reeves's turtle), 292 nucleotides. RefSeq lists it as uncharacterized. The transcript has 3 exons. The record is from RefSeq and is a predicted model, not a curated record. NCBI's taxonomy places the organism in Eukaryota, Metazoa, Chordata, Testudines, Geoemydidae.
GGACCAGAAGGAUGGGGUGGACUGUGAGAGUCUCCAGGUGAGGAGGCCUGGGAGAGACCUGUUCAACAGGGAGCUUCAGCCUUGAGUCCAAGACCGUUCCUCAUUAUACAGAGAACAGUUCAAACAAUCAAUAUGAAACCAAGAGUAAAUGAAAAGUUACUUCAUCAAAUGCUGUAUCUCCCUCAGUUUCCUGGCUUCCAAAAAAACCUUCUCAAGAAGAGCUCCACCUUACCUACUACAGACUCCCUUCGAGAGAAUUGAGUCAUUAACCACUGGAUCAGCUUGCCAAGGU